Molecule: ribosomal RNA, 1250 nt
Filed under: Streptomyces sp.
Lineage: Bacteria; Bacillati; Actinomycetota; Actinomycetes; Kitasatosporales; Streptomycetaceae
Description: partial 16S ribosomal RNA
Rfam family: Bacterial small subunit ribosomal RNA
Source: RNAcentral
CUGGAGUGGCGGCGUGCUAUACAUGCAGUCGAGCGCACCGACGUGCUCCUUGCUCCCUAUACGUCAGCGGCGGACGGGUGAGUAACACGUGGGUAACCUGCCUGUAAGACUGGGAUAACUCCCGGAAACCGGGGCUAAUACCGGAUGCUUGAUUGAACCGCCCGGUUCAAUCAUAAAAAGUGGCUUUUAACUACCACUUUUAAAUGGACCCCCGGCGCAAUAACUAGUUGGUGAGGGGACGGCUCCCCAAGGGGGCAAUACGUAGCCCACCUGAAAGGGGGGUCGGCCCCCCUGGGACUGAAACACGGCCCCCACUCCCCCGGGAAGGGGCAGUAGGGAAUCUUCCGCAAUGGACGAAAGUCUGACGGAACAACGCCCCGUGAGUGAUGAAAGUUUUCGGAUCAUAAAACUCUUUUGUUAGGGAAAAAAAAGUACCGUUCGAAUAGGGCGGGACCUUGACGGUACCUAACCAAAAAGCCCCCGGGAAAUACGUGCCCCCACCCGCGGUAAUACAUAAGUGGGAAGCGUUGUCCGGAAAUAUUGGGGCGUAAAGCGCGCGCAAGCGGUUUCUUAAAUCUGAUGUGAAAGCCCCCGGCUCAACCCCCGGAGGGUCAUUGGAAACUGGGGAACUUGGAGUUGAGAAAAAGAAAGUGGAAUUUCCACGUGUAGCGGUGAAAUGCGUAAAGAUGUGGAGGAACCACCAGUGGCGAAGGCGACUCUUCUGGUCUGUAACUGACGCUGAGGCCGCGAAAGCGUGGGGGAGCGAACAGGAUUAGAUACCCUGGUAGUCCACGCCGUAAACGAUGAGUGCUAAGUGUUAGAGGGUUUCCACCCCUUAGUGCUGCAGCCCACGCAUUAAGCACUCCCCCUGGGGAAUACGGUCGCAAGACUGAAACUCAAAGAAUUGACGGGGGCCCGCACAAGCGGUGGAACAUGUGGUUUAAUUCGAAGCAACGCGAAGAACCUUACCAGGUCUUGACAUCCUCUGACACCCUAGAAAUAGGGCUUCCCUUCGGGACAAAAUAACGGUGGUGCAUGGUGUCUUCAGCUCGGGUCGGGAAAUGUUGGGUUAAGUCCCCAACGAGGGCACCCUUGACUUAAUUGCCACCAUUAAUUGGGCACUCUAAAGGGACUGCCGGUGACAACCGGAAGAAGGUGGGGAUAACUCCAAACACCAAGCCCCUUAAAACCGGGGACAACACGUUGUUAAAUGGGGGGAAAAAAGGGACCCAAAACCUCGAGGUUAGCAA